Molecule: ribosomal RNA, 620 nt
Filed under: Aphelenchoides sp. Ap118
Lineage: Eukaryota; Metazoa; Nematoda; Chromadorea; Rhabditida; Aphelenchoididae
Description: eukaryotic LSU rRNA
Rfam family: Eukaryotic large subunit ribosomal RNA
Source: RNAcentral
AUUUAUCUGGCAUGUAUUUAUUGCGCGGCGCGGCGAUCGGACGAGUUCCGGCAUUCGCAAGGUUGCCGCUCGGUUGUCGUCGUCGUGUUCGUGCAGUGCAUUUGCAUGCGGAGUGCGCCGAGUGAGUUGGUCUGCGCUAUCGGAAACACGCACAGAGGCCCAGCUGCUUGCAGUCGGAAACCCGAGCGUGCGGAUGAUCGGACGAGGCCGGCUUGCUUCACGGUUACGAGCUGGUGAAUUCGCGGUUGGCGUAGUGACUGCAUCGGUGGCGUGCUUGGGCACAUGUGUUCGGUACGUCAUCGGAGUCGGCGCGGCGUCCGUUGCUCCUGCUCGCAACUCGGCGUACAGUCGGUCACCCACUCGACCCGUCUUGAAACACGCACCAAGGAGUUUAAGGUGUACGCAAGUCAUUGAGCUUCGACACUCAAAGGCGUAAUGAAAGUGAGACUCUUGGAGUCUGUGAUGCGAGCGGUGGGUGUUUCGACGCUCGCCGUGCAGCAUCGUCCCAUGACUAGGACUUGUCCUGUUGUGGAGGCCGAGCGUACGCUUUGAGACCCGAAAGAUGGUGAACUAUGCCCGAACAAGAUGAAGCCAGAGGAAACUCUGGCGGAAGUCUGAAG